AUUGAACGCUGGCGGCAGGCCUAACACAUGCAAGUCGAGCGGUAGAGAGGUGCUUGCAUCUCUUGAGAGCGGCGGACGGGUGAGUAAUGCCUAGGAAUCUGCCUAGUGGUGGGGGAUAACGUUCGGAAACGGACGCUAAUACCGCAUACGUCCUACGGGAGAAAGCGGGGGAUCUUCGGACCUCGCGCCAUUAGAUGAGCCUAGGUCGGAUUAGCUAGUUGGUGAGGUAAUGGCUCACCAAGGCGACGAUCCGUAACUGGUCUGAGAGGAUGAUCAGUCACACUGGAACUGAGACACGGUCCAGACUCCUACGGAGGCAGCAGUGGGGGAUAUUGGACAAUGGGCGAAAGCCUGAUCCAGCCAUGCCGCGUGUGUGAAGAAGGUCUUCGGAUUGUAAAGCGCUUUAAGUUGGGAGGAAGGGUAGUAACC
Molecule: ribosomal RNA, 429 nt
Filed under: uncultured bacterium
Lineage: Bacteria
Description: bacterial SSU rRNA
Rfam family: Bacterial small subunit ribosomal RNA
Source: RNAcentral